This 4863-nucleotide long non-coding RNA is filed under the name Capsicum annuum. RNAcentral describes it as "long non-coding RNA (CANN_LNC009575)". The record is from RNAcentral. Lineage: Eukaryota; Viridiplantae; Streptophyta; Magnoliopsida; Solanales; Solanaceae.
GGUACUUUCUGAAGAUAUAUUAAGCUUUGCCUGUUUAAAAUUGUAUACAGGUUAUGUGUUGCGAUGAACGGGGCAUAGCACAAUGAUAUUAUAGGAGUGGGAAAUAGGAUUUGUAUGGACGAUAAAUUUAGGAAUCUGGGAAGUUUCAGACCUUGUCUAAGUUAUAACAACUUGGAGUUUUAGUUUGGUUUAUACAUCAAUAAAAUGUUGGGUAUGAGAUUGUCAUAAUGUAGCUUCUCAAACAAAUAUGGUUUUCAUUCAAAUACCAUGAACCUUAUUUCCUCUUCCAAAUACUCUACUUACAAUAUCUUACAUGAUAUAUUCAACAAAAAAGUAAUGUAAUCUUGGGCAACCAUACCCAUAAUACCUAUUUCAAACAUGCAUAUGGAUCCAACCAGAUGAAUAAAUGGUUGUUGCGUCGUGCCUCAGGGUCUUCAGUCCAGAGGCAAGUACUCCAACACUUGAUCCUUUAACUUCUAGCAUUAUUCCUGCAAGAGAAUUUCAUUUAAUUAGUUUAACUUCUUGCAAUAUCCCCACAGUUACGAUGCUUGGAGUUAUUAAAGUUUGCCUUGUUGGAGCAACAAGAGGCCAUGCUUUGUGAAAUCUAUUGAAUUGCUUGUUGAGCUUGUGUUGCUGCAAACAUCAUUCUUGACUCUUGAUGAGGCAAUCAAAACCACAAAUCGGAGGGUCAAUGCCUUGGAGAAUGUUGUGAAGCCUCGGUUGGAGAAUACAGUUACUUACAUCAAGAGAGGGAGCUUGAUGAAUUGGAAAGGGAAGACUUUUUCCUUCUGAACAAGAAGAGGGAGGUAGAGAAACAGGCGGCCGCUGCCAGGCUACAUGGGACUAUUUUACCUGUCCCUUUCGAAUCGCUUUCAAGCAGAAAAUAACAGAGAAAUUAAAGAAAAUAAUAACACAAAGAUUUAACGUGUAAAACUUUUCAAUUGGAGAAAAACUACGGGCCUCUCAGAAAAAUAUUCACUAUAUAAAAAUUAUUACACCAUACAAUACACAAUAUUUUUCUAACAUACCCUCACUUCCUAAAAUACUAUUCUCAAAGAGAUCUCCAACAGAAUUAUCUCUAAACCUCUUUAAUAGUAAAGAAGAAAAAGAAUAUUUCUGUGUGUAUUAAACAAUGAAGGACAUAAAGUUUAUUUAUAACUCUCAACCUCCUCCCAAUCAAAGAAAAUUUCUGAUGUAGAAUUUUUUUUUCUUCAAAACAAAAUUCAACACAUAGCAGAAGGCUGCUGAAGAAAUUUCUUUGAAAAGCGGUACUACACUUGGUUCAGCCCAUAACUUACUGUCCCACUCUUCACAGAGAGAUGAGGACAUUAUUUUCUGAUUUGGAGGUUAGCUUUUUAUAUAAUUAGGACUUGCAAUUUCAGCUUAUAUUUAUAAAAAGAGUUCAUUUAAUCUAUAUUUAUUAAAUUGGAUUACUCAUAUUUCAAAUGGAUAAAUAUAAAUUUUAACUCAUUUUAAAAGCUCAUACAAAUAUGAAUAAAAUGGGUAAAAUAUGAGUAUUCAUUUAAACACAAAGAUCACCCACGUAUGCUUAAAAUUUUAAAAAAAAAAAAUCUUUUUUAGUUUCUUUUCUUCUUUUUUUUUGGUUUUUACUUUCUUUUUUUCUUUAAUUUACUUUUUUGCUUUUUCAUUUUUUUACUCGUUUCUUAUAAUUUCUUUUUUUCUUUCUCAUUUUUUCAUCUAUUUUUUUUUCUUUGUAUUUUUUUUGUUUUCCCCUUUUUCAUUCUUAUUUCAUCAUUCAAAUUCGCUUGAGACCUACAUGGGUUAAUUAAUUUAAACUUCUAAUUAUUCCAUUUAGCCUAUACAAUUUAUAACAUCUCUUAUCAAUUAAAUAUAAUACAUAGUCUCACUCCUUUAUUAUUAUUUUUUUCUAUCUUUUAUUUCUCAUUAUUUUUUUUUCUUUUCCAGUUUUUUUUUUCUUUUUCCUUUAAUUUACUAUUUUUUUCUUUCCUUUUUCCCUUAAUUUACUUUUUUUCCUUUUUUAUUUUUUCCACUUAUUUUUUACUCAUUUCUUACACUUUUUUCUUUCUUCUAUUUCAUCAAUUUUUUUCUUUUUCAAUUUUAUUUCUUUUUUCUUCGCAUUCUUUUUUUUUUGUAUUUCGUUUUUCCCCUUUUCAUUCUUGGUUCAUCAUUUUUGUCAUUUUUCUUUUUUUUUAUAUUUUUUUCCUCAUCUUUUUUUCAUUGCAUUUUAUAUUUUAUAAUUUUUUUUACUUUAAAUUUAUUUGUAUGUACUAUAUAUUUCAAAUAAUUUUAUUAUUUGUAUUUGAAUAGUUUAGUUAUCAAUAUGUACAAUUUAUCAUUUGUAUUUAUAUACAAAUAAGUGUAUGAAUUAAUUGCAUUUUCUCGAGACUAAAAUAUAUAAAUAUACAAUGUAUCAUUCAAUGCAAAUGUGUCAUUAGUAUUUGUAUAUCAAUUUGCGACUGCUAAAGAUAUUUGGUUUGAUGAAUGUAAUCCCAAGAUCUUUCAGGAUACUAUCUUUGUAUCUAUCCAUUAGGUGGAGUCUACUUGAGUGUACUUACACAAAUUAUAAAUGUUGGACGAAUAUAAAUCAAUAUGCACUUAGGAUAUUUUUGCUAUCAUAAAAAAAUAGAAAAAAAAUCAAAAAAAAAAAGAGAGAGAGAGAGAGGUAAAAGUUAGAGAUAGAAGAGAGAAAAAAAUGUAAAGAAAGAAUUGAAGAAAAAAAUAUAAAAAAAAAUUAAAAAUAAAAAAUAAUGAAAAAGUAGAAAAGAAAAAACAAUGAUGGCAAAUACAAAUAUACUGAGUGGUUAUGAUAUUUCAGUCAUCAGUCAUACUUUGUACUCGACUUAACCAUGUUUUUCAAAAAUAAAAAAAAUAUAAAACAUAAAAUACAAUGAUAAAAAUGAGAAAGAAGUAAAAACAAAACAUAAUAAAAAAUAGAAAAAAAAGGAGACUAAAAAGGAAAAGAAAAAAAAGAAAAAAAAAAAAGAAGCAAUGGGUAGAGAUAGAAGAGAGAGAGAAAAAGAAAUUAAAAAAAAUGAAAAAAUAAAACUAGAGGCUACAUAUGAAAGAGAGAGAGAGAGAAAAUAAUUAAAAAGAAAAAAAUGAAAAAAAAAUCAAGUUGAUAUGAUAUAGAAGUUUUAUGUUUUUGACUUUAGGAGUUAAAGUGGGUUGGACCAUUUUUACCCAUAUUUGACCAAAUUUAUAUUUACCUAUAUUUAUAUGGGCGGAUUGCAAUCCAAAUUAUUUUUGCUCGAUCAAUAUUUAACCCAUCCAAAUCCAAUGCAAUCCGCCAGUUUGCCACCCCUAUAGAUAAGUUAUGUGUAUUGUCUAAUAUAGGAAUGGAUAAUAUUUUCAGAUUGAUAUAUUUUCCUUGUUCAAUAAGAGCUCUAUGCAUAUUUGUACUUAGUGAGCUCUAUGGGGAGCUGCCUCAUUGGCUAGUUAUGUGUGCUUUUUUUAAUUUUUUUAUUCAGUGAUAUCCUUGUAUAUUUUUUGCUGGGAGAGCUGCUGGCUGAAAAUUUUAUUUUUGAAUAUUGUGAAAAGCUUAUCUUCUUUGCCUACCACAAAAUUGUGUCAUGUAUUUGAUAAUAUUCUCUCCCGUUACAUGGACACUACACCCAAAAACACACAUAUUGAAAACUACCUUCCUUCGAAGGAUUGAGGUGGGGAUGCAGAUAUACUAAAAAAUUUCUCAUUUUUCUGGGGAUAAACUUGUUCUAAGCCUCCUAUGAGUUCCCAUAAUCCUUUUGUAUGGGUAUAUUGAGUACACUGCAUAUUGGUAAAGAGGAAAGCACGAUAAAUAUACAUAAGUUUUAUGGUCCCUCCUACACAUUUUCCUUUUGAAUUCAUUUGUUUAUUCAGUGAAGUUGUAGGUUUGGUUCAUGCUUUUAGAUAGCUUUUUUUUCUUGCAUUUCUCCAUUGCUUGGAGUCCCAGACUUUAUGGAUGGCAUCAGCAGUAUUUCAUGUUGAUACAGUGUAUAUUCGUGUUUUUAAGGCGUUUUGACACAAUAAAUACCAUGAUGCUUUGGUAGUUGAUGACAACUUAUCAAAAGAAAAGUUAGUGACAUUUUGUUGUGCCUUUGUUGGAUUACUGGUAUGGAUCACCCAUGUGGACUGACCUGACCCGACCCGACCUGAAUUGACCUGACCCGAUCCGACCCAUUUCUCAGUCAGAAUAAUAAGAUUAAGAUAAUCUUAACUCAAAUAAAAAAGGGGGAACAGUUGUAACUGUUUCCGCCCCAAAUCACCCCUAUAAGAUGAUUUUUCCUCUUUGUCUGACGGAUAUGAGAAACAAAAAAAAAAGAUUGGACUUGAAUUCUAAAACAACACCAAUUAAGAGUAUUUAGUUUGUGAAACAAUUUCGUUUCCAAGAGAGACGAAGUGAACUUAAGCAGAUCCGUUUAGAAACAAAAAUCGAUUUCCGCUGCGAACUAAAGGUACACUAUUUUACUCCGAAAAUUUCUAUAAUGGUAUCAGAGACUGAGUUUAAAUUGCCCUAAUUUCACAUGCAUAAUCUCGAUUUUAAGUCUAAAAAUACAAAAUCGAGUUAGUACUUACAUGUUAGAAAUUUUGUUGACCGAAUUAGAACGUACCUGUAAAAUAAUUUGGUCUCCGAUCAGACGCUGCUCUGGUCAGAUGCGCCACCACAACUCCGGUUGGACGCACUACUGAUUCAUUCAAACGCUGAUUCAGUCAGACGCGUCAAAGAUUUUAUAGAUCUGACCAGACAUGAUUAUUGUUAUAUGAUGGAAGAAAAAAUAAAAGAAAACACCGAAUGUUAUUCGAGAGAGAAGAUGAUGAAUGUUAUCUUUAUUUUUUUAUUUGUUGUUUUAUUGAUAUAUGAUAUUUGGUACUUGUGUAGUACAAGUACUACUAAUAGUAGUACAA